This is a long non-coding RNA of Eucalyptus grandis, 1088 nucleotides long. RefSeq lists it as uncharacterized. The record is from RefSeq and is a predicted model, not a curated record. Lineage: Eukaryota; Viridiplantae; Streptophyta; Magnoliopsida; Myrtales; Myrtaceae. The transcript has 4 exons.
UCCUUGCUUUCGGUGAAGUCCUUGCCGUCCUUGAAGAUGAGAAACUCCAUGGCAUCGAUGUGGAAGAAUAUGAAGCACCCGCAUAAAUGAGUGAUGCAUGACCCAAAGUCCUUCCCGACCACACAGUGCCACGACGAACCCUAAAUAGGUGCUGCAGCAAAACUGGUGCAGAUUAGAAGGACCUGAAAUCUGACUAAGAGAACUUUUUACCUGUAAGUUCUUUGCGAAAAGAAGAAGCAGAGUAUUUAGCAAGUGGUUGAAUCAAUAAUAAUGGUUACCCUUCAAACCGUGCAAAGUUUCGAGAAGAAAACUCAACUCAUGCUCCAAAAAGAAAAGUAAUUCUCCACAGAUGAAGAGGGCAGCAUGCCAACACCAAAAGAUUAAUUCAGAUUAAACAGAGAAUAUUGCUAGGUGGGUCUGUGACCUGCUUGAUAUGAUGAGCAAUGGCCUGAAAAUCGGCGGAUUCAUGGAGGUCCAGAGCUUGGUAGGCUAAGUCCAUUACAUGGCUACGCAUCGCUUCUGCCAUGUCUGCCUCGCGCACUACAGCUCGUCCCUCCAGCAUCUCACCGAAACCUCGUAUCAAUUGAAAAAGAAGAAGAAAAACCUUCAAGGAGAGUAAACUGGUAUUGCCAACAUUUAUACCAGCAGGAUGCUAUAAGGAUGCAACUUUUUCGUCGUUAAUCAAGGUGAAGUUCCUGGACUACGUUCGCACAUGGAACACGACUGCAACUUGAACUACGAUAGGCUCCAAGAUCACCCGAGUAAAAGACAGAAUUCGGAAUGUUUAUGGACAACAAAUGCAGGCAUGGAGAUUUAUAAUGUGGCUGGAAACUUCUUGUUUGUCUGCUUCAUGGCAAGUGGUCCAUGUUUGAUGCAAAACAGUUCUAGCCCUUCCUUUUAUUUCUAUUUUUUUUUUCCUUCUCCUUUUAUGUUUGCUUAUUCCUUUUCUCAAAGUGAGGAAUCUAUAGAAAGAAUCAACUUCCCUGUCCAAUGUUGGGGACAAAGUACCUCUAAGCAGCAUGGAAUCGCUAAGCUCGAUUUUGGGACAUUAUAAAUAAAAGUGCCGAAAGGGGUUCGGAAUUCGCUUA